GGAAGUAAAAGCGUAACAAGGUUUCCGUAGGUGAACCUGCGGAAGGAUCAUUAAGUAAUUUGAUAUACUUCGGUAUAUUCUCUUUUACUGUGAACUGUAUUAUUGCAUGACGCUUGAGGGAUGUCUAUAGAUCAUAUGGGUAGGUCUAGAGAAUGUUAACCGAGUCAUGAUCAAGCUUAGGCUUGUUGCCCUAUUAUUAUUUACCGAAAGAAUUCAGUAUUAAUAUUGUAACAUAGACGUAAAAAAUCUAUAAAACAACUUUUAACAACGGAUCUCUUGGUUCUC
Molecule: unclassified non-coding RNA, 285 nt
Filed under: plant metagenome
Description: partial contains small subunit ribosomal RNA, internal transcribed spacer 1, and 5.8S ribosomal RNA
Rfam family: Eukaryotic small subunit ribosomal RNA (bases 1-53)
Source: RNAcentral